Molecule: ribosomal RNA, 253 nt
Filed under: uncultured bacterium
Lineage: Bacteria
Description: partial 16S ribosomal RNA
Rfam family: Bacterial small subunit ribosomal RNA
Source: RNAcentral
UACGUAGGUGGCAAGCGUUAUCCGGAAUUAUUGGGCGUAAAGAGCGCGCAGGUGGUUAAUUAAGUCUGAUGUGAAAGCCCACGGCUUAACCGUGGAGGGUCAUUGGAAACUGGUUGACUUGAGUGUAGAAGAGGGAAGUGGAAUUCCAUGUGUAGCGGUGAAAUGCGUAGAGAUAUGGAGGAACACCGGUGGCGAAAGCGGCUCUCUGGCCUGUAACUGACACUGAGGCUCGAAAGCGUGGGGAGCAAACAGG